GGGGGAUAACGUCCGGAACGGGCGCUAAUACCGCAUACGUCCUGAGGGAGAAAGUGGGGGAUCUUCGGACCUCACGCUAUCAGAUGAGCCUAGGUCGGAUUAGCUAGUUGGUGGGGUAAAGGCCUACCAAGGCGACGAUCCGUAACUGGUCUGAGAGGAUGAUCAGUCACACUGGAACUGAGACACGGUCCAGACUCCUACGGGAGGCAGCAGUGGGGAAUAUUGGACAAUGGGCGAAAGCCUGAUCCAGCCAUGCCGCGUGUGUGAAGAAGGUCUUCGGAUUGUAAAGCACUUUAAGUUGGGAGGAAGGGCAGUAAGUUAAUACCUUGCUGUUUUGACGUUACCAACAGAAUAAGCACCGGCUAACUUCGUGCCAGCAGCCGCGGUAAUACGAAGGGUGCAAGCGUUAAUCGGAAUUACUGGGCGUAAAGCGCGCGUAGGUGGUUCAGCAAGUUGGAUGUGAAAUCCCCGGGCUCAACCUGGGAACUGCAUCCAAAACUACUGAGCUAGAGUACGGUAGAGGGUGGUGGAAUUUCCUGUGUAGCGGUGAAAUGCGUAGAUAUAGGAAGGAACACCAGUG
This 580-nucleotide ribosomal RNA is filed under the name Pseudomonas aeruginosa. Its description in RNAcentral is "bacterial SSU rRNA". It matches the Rfam family "Bacterial small subunit ribosomal RNA", at positions 138 to 714 of the family's 1533-position model. The record is from RNAcentral. Lineage: Bacteria; Pseudomonadati; Pseudomonadota; Gammaproteobacteria; Pseudomonadales; Pseudomonadaceae.